Molecule: long non-coding RNA, 1281 nt
Organism: Centrocercus urophasianus (Greater sage-grouse)
Lineage: Eukaryota; Metazoa; Chordata; Aves; Galliformes; Phasianidae
Exons: 3
Source: RefSeq, a predicted model, not a curated record
UUUCUGCAGGAACAGGGCAAGCUGCUCUCACCCAAAUUUCCAAAAUGGUGUUCUCUGCACAAAUCAAAAUCUCUGUGUUGGGCUCUGCAGAUUGGCUAUUCUUGUGGCACGGAUUGCAUCCAGCUCCUUUGUGGCACAGAUUGAGUGAUCACAGUGAAAGAGCACUCCAGGAAAGCUGAAAUGAAGCUUGGCUCAUGGAUGUAGCUGAGAUGCACUUAGCAGCCCCAUGAUUCUCCCUGCAUCCAUCCUGAAUGCCAGCUCCAGAUGUGGGUGCCCUGAGAGACAUCUCAAACAUCUCUGAUGCCAGAUGUGACAGACCUGAAUCUGGGGAGCCUUCUCACCAUGACUGCUCAGCAUCUCAUAUCAAGAGAAACAUGUUGUGUCUACAGGGGCAGCAGCACCCAUAUAAUCCCUAAUUAUACUUAAAUUUUUGUUUUCAGAGAGCCAAAAUACUUUAUCCAUGAUGGGAGUAAUACAAUAAUGUUGUCCCUACUGAUUUUUCCUUUAUUCCAACUAUUUGCUAGCUGCCUUUCUGUGGAUAGAUUUGAAUGCUGUUAGUGACCUUGUGAAAACACUGUUGUCAUUACUAGAACCAGGUCACAAAUACCCCUGGGCACAAUGAAAUGUUUCACCUGCAAUUCUUCAAAUAGUUUCCACUGCUGUUAAUACUUUGAGGUGUAUGAGGUCUCGCACACGUCUAUCCACUAAAUAGCUAUCACCUGCACACAAUAUUUUGGCAUCAAAUAUCUUCUACAUAGAAUUCACAGAAGUCUUACUUGAGGAUUUAUCAAUGCACCAAAUUCCUGAUUUCCUGGAAUAGCUCAUCUAGAGGGAGAAAAAAUCAGCUUCAAAUGGGAAACGGAACCUUUCCAAAGUUCAUUGGUGUUGGAGGUCAAGUUUUAGUUCAGCUCAUUACAGACACAGAUGUUAAAUUCAGAUUAGGAGUUACAUUUUGGAAAAGUUUAAGAUGUUUUGGGAUCUGUGGUUUUGGCCUAACCCUCUCUUUAAUCAAAAAUGACAUCCCUGGGCAAGAGAGUCUUCAGCUUUUUCGUACCUCUCAGAAACGUGCAUUCAGACAUACAGAAGCUAUUUCAGUCUUGAUGAGGUAACUCAGGUCAUGUUUAUUACCACGGCACAGUUGAAAAAUCUCCUCCUGUUCAGACAAAAACCCUCUUCCACACCCACAUUUCAUUUUUUGCCUACAACUUUUACAACUUUUUGGGGAGUGUUUUGUUUUAAUGAGGAAAAGAACAACACUGUUUCAUUAUGAUUGUCAAAUCA